This 328-nucleotide unclassified non-coding RNA is filed under the name soil metagenome. RNAcentral's name for it is "partial contains 5.8S ribosomal RNA, internal transcribed spacer 2, and large subunit ribosomal RNA". The stretch from base 1 to 120 matches the Rfam family "5.8S ribosomal RNA", at positions 35 to 154 of the family's 154-position model. The record is from RNAcentral.
GAUGAAGAACGCAGCGAAAUGCGAUAAGUAAUGUGAAUUGCAGAAUUCAGUGAAUCAUCGAAUCUUUGAACGCACAUUGCGCCCCCUGGUAUUCCGGGGGGCAUGCCUGUCCGAGCGUCAUUACAACCCUCAAGCUCAGCUUGGUAUUGGGCCCCGCCGCUCCGGCGGGCCCUAAAGUCAGUGGCGGUGCCGUCCGGCUCCGAGCGUAGUAAUUCUUCUCGCUCUGGAGGUCCGGUCGUGUGCUCGCCAGCAACCCCCAAUUUUUUUCAGGUUGACCUCGGAUCAGGUAGGGAUACCCGCUGAACUUAAGCAUAUCAAUAGCGGAGGA